This 217-nucleotide unclassified non-coding RNA is filed under the name uncultured Atheliaceae. RNAcentral's name for it is "sequence contains ITS2". The record is from RNAcentral. Lineage: Eukaryota; Fungi; Basidiomycota; Agaricomycetes; Atheliales; Atheliaceae.
AAUUCUCAACUCCGAGUAGACUUCUCUGUCUAUCUGGAGCUUGGACUUGGAGUGUGCUGGCCUGGCUUGUCACAGGUCGGCUCCUCUUAAAAGCAUCAGCAGAACGUGUGUUUAGAGCUUUUGCUGACUUUCAGUGUGAUAAGUGUGUUGCACUGUUGUCUGGCAUGGCGCGUGGGGUUGUCUGCCUACAAUCUGUCCUUUGAGUGACCUUUUUGAA